UACGUAGGGCGCAAGCGUUGUCCGGAAUUAUUGGGCGUAAAGAGCUCGUAGGCGGUUUGUCGCGUCUGUCGUGAAAGCUUGGGGCUUAACCCCAAGUCUGCGGUGGAUACUGGCAGACUAGAGGCAGGUAGGGGAGAACGGAAUUCCCGGUGUAGCGGUGAAAUGCGCAGAUAUCGGGAGGAACACCGGUGGCGAAGGCGGUUCUCUGGGCCUGUACUGACGCUGAGGAGCGAAAGCGUGGGGAGCGAACAGG
This 253-nucleotide ribosomal RNA is filed under the name uncultured bacterium. Its description in RNAcentral is "partial 16S ribosomal RNA". It matches the Rfam family "Bacterial small subunit ribosomal RNA", at positions 524 to 776 of the family's 1533-position model. The record is from RNAcentral.